GAUGAACGCUGGCGGCGUGCCUAAUACAUGCAAGUCGAGCGAACAGACGAGGAGCUUGCUCCUCUGACGUUAGCGGCGGACGGGUGAGUAACACGUGGAUAACCUACCUAUAAGACUGGGAUAACUUCGGGAAACCGGAGCUAAUACCGGAUAAUAUAUUGAACCGCAUGGUUCAAUAGUGAAAGACGGUUUUGCUGUCACUUAUAGAUGGAUCCGCGCCGCAUUAGCUAGUUGGUAAGGUAACGGCUUACCAAGGCGACGAUGCGUAGCCGACCUGAGAGGGUGAUCGGCCACACUGGAACUGAGACACGGUCCAGACUCCUACGGGAGGCAGCAGUAGGGAAUCUUCCGCAAUGGGCGAAAGCCUGGCGGAGCAACGCCGCGUGAGUGAUGAAGGUCUUCGGAUCGUAAAACUCUGUUAUUAGGGAAGAACAAAUGUGUAAGUAACCAUGCACGUCUUGACGGUACCUAAUCAGAAAGCCACGGCUAACUACGUG
Molecule: ribosomal RNA, 497 nt
Filed under: uncultured bacterium
Lineage: Bacteria
Description: partial 16S ribosomal RNA
Rfam family: Bacterial small subunit ribosomal RNA
Source: RNAcentral